This 342-nucleotide ribosomal RNA is filed under the name uncultured fungus. Its description in RNAcentral is "SSU rRNA". It matches the Rfam family "Eukaryotic small subunit ribosomal RNA", at positions 292 to 636 of the family's 1831-position model. Lineage: Eukaryota; Fungi. The record is from RNAcentral.
GGUUCAUUCAAAUUUCUGCCCUAUCAACUUUCGACGGCUGGGUCUUGGCAGCCAUGGUGACAACGGGUAACGGAGGGUUAGGGCUCGACCCCGGAGAAGGAGCCUGAGAAACGGCUACUACAUCCAAGGAAGGCAGCAGGCGCGCAAAUUACCCAAUCCCGACGGGGAGNGUAGUGACAAUAAAUACUGAUACAGGGCUCUUUUGGGUCUUGUAAUUGGAAUGAGUACAAUUUAAAUCCCUUAACGAGGAACAAUUGGAGGGCAAGUCUGGUGCAGCAAGCCGGGUAAUUCCAGCUCCAAUAGCGUAUAUUAAAGUUGUUGAGGUUAAAAAGCUCGUAGUUG